RNAcentral lists this ribosomal RNA (474 nucleotides) under uncultured organism. Its description in RNAcentral is "partial 16S ribosomal RNA". It matches the Rfam family "Bacterial small subunit ribosomal RNA", at positions 333 to 798 of the family's 1533-position model. The record is from RNAcentral.
ACACUCCUACGGGAGGCAGCAGUGGGGAAUUUUGGACAAUGGGGGCAACCCUGAUCCAGCAAUGCCGCGUGAGUGAAGAAGGCCUUCGGGUUGUAAAGCUCUUUUGUCAGGGAAGAAACGGUGGUGGCGAAUAACUACUACUAAUGACGGUACCUGAAGAAUAAGCACCGGCUAACUACGUGCCAGCAGCCGCGGUAAUACGUAGGGUGCAAGCGUUAAUCGGAAUUACUGGGCGUAAAGCGUGCGCAGGCGGUUGUGUAAGUCAGAUGUGAAAUCCCCGGGCUCAACCUGGGAAUUGCAUUUGAGACUGCACGGCUAGAGUGUGUCAGAGGGGGGUAGAAUUCCACGUGUAGCAGUGAAAUGCGUAGAUAUGUGGAGGAAUACCGAUGGCGAAGGCAGCCCCCUGGGAUAACACUGACGCUCAUGCACGAAAGCGUGGGGAGCAAACAGGAUUAGAAACCCCAGUAGUCCCAU